UAUGAGCUGAACUGUGUUCAUGUGUGUUUGUAGGCUACAUUUUCUUGGUGGCUCUUUGUGGUUUCUCCCUUUUGUUGGAUUUUCAAAGAACAGCAUGGAAACAUUUCUUGGAAACCUCAAAUGUAAUAAGAACACUGGAACAAGGUUUGGCUCACAACACCCAAACAAUCUGUCUUUGCCCGGGGAGGAGAGACCAGUCGACGACAUGGCUUUUCACAACACUGUGAGAAGUGGGCAAAAAUAGUGAAGCGGGAAAACUUAACGCUUCAGUCAAAAGUCAUUGAGAUAGCAACCAGAGAUAGCAUACCUGAGUGAUACUUCUUAAAUCAUGUUUUCCAUUUAUUUAUUGAAGAAAUCAUCUUAAGAAUAAGGAAGUGUUAAGUUUCCUGAGAUGGUUUGGGGAUGAGGGGAGUAACAAUACAAAUUUAAAACAAAGAAAAAAGACAAGGAAUUUACAAAAACUAACAAUUUAACUGAAAACGAGCUUCUAUUAAAAAACAGCUCAAGAGAAGCCAAACAUUAACAAAUGUAUGCCUAGUCCUAGUUUUUAACUUUUUAGCUUUUUGUACACAAGGAAACCGCGUUUUAGGUCACUAAAAAAACGCACGUUUUUGACAACCCGUUCCAGGGUAAAGUUUUACAUAAACUCCAUUUUGGUGACAUAGCAGACGUAACCAAACCGGUGCUCCCACGACGUUGAUGGGCAGAAGUGGCAGAAUGGACAACUUUGUAUUAUUUCAGAGGAAUGGGGAGAACAUUUUAUCACGUCAUGGACAUCGUUUUUGACUUGGCGUGCUCCUGAGAGUGGUGACAGUGCAUUUUUGCCUUUUCAUGUGGACGAUGAUGUUGAGAACUGAGCGUGUGUGGACGGGAUUAUUUCAUGAAACGGAGGAGGAAAACCUCAGUUUAAAAGAAAUACCUGCCAACAUCAAAUUAGAGAAAACAUGGCGCCUCGUCAGACGACGCCCUUCUUCCACUGAAGCAGUAUCUCAUCUCAGCUUCCACACGAUCACUGCAUGACCCACUGGCUACUGAUCUCGCCUCUCUCCUGCUUUUAAUGCCGAGGAGUCGGACCUUUGAUCGCUAGUCGGGCGAGCAGCAGCCUGCAGAGCAACAGGAGAGAGAGAAACAAACACACUACAGCACGAAACAGGAAGUACUUACACAUGUUGUUAUCACUGUUGUGCAGUUGAAUGUAAGCUAGUAAAGACAAACACAAUGUUUCUCCUCUUCUACAAAAUGUUUUUGGUGUCUGUACUCAGAACAUUUCUCAAACUGAGAUCAUGUCCCGGGUAUUUCUUCAAGUUUCCUGUCAGCUUUCAGGACCUUGUACUUUAUAAGAUGUCACUCCAGUGGAGAAAUUCACCUUGAUUCAGCGAUUGGUGGGAUGCAUUUGUCAGCGGCUGUUUUGCCGACACACAAUCCAUCUCUUCAGUCGGAGCGCACACAAAGCUGCACACGUUGAGGUGUUCGGGUGACUAAAUAUGAUGUCAGUGGAACAGAUGACGCAUUCUCCUCUGUUUUUCUAAACAAAUAGAAAGACCAGAUUUGAUCCGUCUGUAUUCAUGUAUCUCGAUUAUAUUGAUUUCUCAUCACACAGAAUUAAUUUUUGAUGCACUAAUUAAAUCU
This is a non-coding RNA of Labrus bergylta (ballan wrasse), 1629 nucleotides long. The record is from RefSeq and is a predicted model, not a curated record. Lineage: Eukaryota; Metazoa; Chordata; Actinopteri; Labriformes; Labridae.